AUUGAACGCUGGCGGCAUGCCUUACACAUGCGAGUCGAACGGCAGCACGGGAGCAAUCCUGGUGGCGAGUGGCGAACGGGUGAGUAAAGUAUCGGAACGUGCCCAGUCGUGGGGGAUAACGUAGCGAAAGUUACGCUAAUACCGCAUACGAUCUAUGGAUGAAAGCGGGGGAUCGCAAGACCUCGCGCGAUUGGAGCGGCCGAUAUCCGAUUAGGUAGUUGGUGGGGUAAAGGCUCACCAAGCCGACGAUCUGUAGCUGGUCUGAGAGGACGACCAGCCACACGGGGAAUGAGACACGGCCCAGACGCCUACGGGAGGCAGCAGUGGGGAAUUUUGGACAAUGGGCGAAAGACUGAUCCAGCCAUGCCGCGUGGAGGAUGAAGGCCUUCGGGUUGUAAACUGCUUUUGUACGGAACGAAAAGGUUUGGGCUAAUAAGCUGAGCUCAUGACGGUACCGUAAGAAUAAGCACCGGCUAACUACGUGCCAGCCGCCGCAGUAA
This 500-nucleotide ribosomal RNA is filed under the name uncultured bacterium. RNAcentral's name for it is "partial 16S ribosomal RNA". It matches the Rfam family "Bacterial small subunit ribosomal RNA", at positions 29 to 523 of the family's 1533-position model. The record is from RNAcentral.